RNAcentral lists this ribosomal RNA (760 nucleotides) under uncultured Clostridia bacterium. RNAcentral's name for it is "bacterial SSU rRNA". It matches the Rfam family "Bacterial small subunit ribosomal RNA", at positions 91 to 879 of the family's 1533-position model. Lineage: Bacteria; Bacillati; Bacillota; Clostridia. The record is from RNAcentral.
AUUAGCGGCGGACGGGUGAGUAACACGUGAGUAACCUGCCUUAGACAUUGGGAUAGCCUCGGGAAACCGGGAUUAAUACCAAAUGAAAUCACAUAUGCACAUGCAUAAAUGAUCAAAGCUCCGGCGGUCUAAGAUGGACUCGCGUCCCAUUAGCUAGUUGGUGAGGUAACGGCCCACCAAGGCGACGAUGGGUAGCCGGCCUGAGAGGGUGAACGGCCACAUUGGAACUGAGAAACGGUCCAAACUCCUACGGGAGGCAGCAGUGGGGAAUAUUGCACAAUGGAGGGAACUCUGAUGCAGCGACGCCGCGUGAACGAUGAAGGCUUUCGAGUCGUAAAGUUCUUUUAUAUGGGAAGAUAAUGACGGUACCAUAAGAAAAAGCCCCGGCUAACUACGUGCCAGCAGCCGCGGUAAUACGUAGGGGGCUAGCGUUGUCCGGAAUCACUGGGCGUAAAGGGUUCGCAGGCGGAAAUGCAAGUCAGAUGUAAAAGGCAGUAGCUUAACUACUGUAAGCAUUUGAAACUGCAUAUCUUGAGAAGAGUAGAGGUAAGUGGAAUUUUUAGUGUAGCGGUGAAAUGCGUAGAUAUUAAAAAGAAUACCGGUGGCGAAGGCGACUUACUGGGCUCAUUCUGACGCUGAGGAACGAAAGCGUGGGUAGCAAACAGGAUUAGAUACCCUGGUAGUCCACGCUGUAAACGAUGAGUGCUAGGUAUCGGAAUAAUUCGGUGCCGCAGUUACACAUUAACACUCCGCCUGGGGA